GACGUAGGGGGCCAGCGUUGUUCGGAAUUACUGGGUGUAAAGGGUUCGUAGGCGGUGUAGCAAGUCGGGAGUGAAAUCUCUGGGCUUAACCCAGAGGCUGCUUCCGAAACUGCUGUGCUUGAGUGUGGGAGAGGCGCGUGGAAUUGCAGGUGUAGCGGUGAAAUGCGUAGAUAUCGAGAGGAACACCUGCGGCGAAGGCGGGUUGCUGGGCUGACACUGACGCUGAUGCGCGAAAGCUAGGGGAGCGAACGGG
This 253-nucleotide ribosomal RNA is filed under the name uncultured bacterium. Its description in RNAcentral is "partial 16S ribosomal RNA". It matches the Rfam family "Bacterial small subunit ribosomal RNA", at positions 524 to 776 of the family's 1533-position model. The record is from RNAcentral.